This 333-nucleotide ribosomal RNA is filed under the name uncultured eukaryote. RNAcentral describes it as "partial 18S ribosomal RNA". It matches the Rfam family "Eukaryotic small subunit ribosomal RNA", at positions 1470 to 1796 of the family's 1831-position model. The record is from RNAcentral.
CCCUUAGAUGUUCUGGGCUGCACGCGCGCUACACUGAAGCGUUCAACGAGUAUUCACCUUGCCCGGGAGGGUUGGGUAAUCUUUUGAAAACGCUUCGUGAUGGGGAUAGAUUAUUGCAAUUAUUAAUCUUGAACGAGGAAUUCCUAGUAAGCGCGAGUCAUCAGCUCGCGCUGAUUACGUCCCUGCCCUUUGUACACACCGCCCGUCGCUACUACCGAUUGGAUGGUUUAGCGAGAGCCUUGGAUUGGAGCCCGGGUGGUCAGCAAUGGCCGCCCGGGAGUCCCUGAGAAAUUGCUCCAGCUUGAUCAUCUAGAGGAAGUAAAAGUCGUAACA